AGCGAGCGCUGGCGGCAGGCUUAACACAUGCAAGUCGAACGCCCCGCAAGGGGAGUGGCAGGCGGGUGAGUAACACGUGGGAACGUACCCUUUGGUUCGGAAUAACUUGGGGAAACUCAAGCUAAUACCGGAUAAGCCCUUAUGGGGAAAGGUUUACUGCCGAAGGAUCGGCCCGCGUCUGAUUAGCUAGUUGGUGAGGUAACGGCUCACCAAGGCGACGAUCAGUAGCUGGUCUGAGAGGAUGAUCAGCCACACUGGGACUGAGACACGGCCCAGACUCCUACGGGAGGCAGCAGUGGGGAAUAUUGGACAAUGGGGGCAACCCUGAUCCAGCCAUGCCGCGUGAGUGAUGAAGGCCUUAGGGUUGUAAAGCUCUUUUACCCGGGACGAUAAUGACUGUACCGGGAGAAUAAGCCCCGGCUAACUUCGUGCCAGCCGCCGCGGUAA
Molecule: ribosomal RNA, 447 nt
Filed under: uncultured bacterium
Lineage: Bacteria
Description: partial 16S ribosomal RNA
Rfam family: Bacterial small subunit ribosomal RNA
Source: RNAcentral